This 104-nucleotide small nuclear RNA is filed under the name Cercocebus atys (sooty mangabey). Lineage: Eukaryota; Metazoa; Chordata; Mammalia; Primates; Cercopithecidae. The record is from RNAcentral.
GUGCUUGCUUCAGCAGCACAUAUACUAAAAUUGGAAUGAUACAAAGAUUAGCAUGUCCUUUGCACAAGGAUGACAUGCAAAUUCGUGAAGCAUUCCAUAUUUAA